RNAcentral lists this ribosomal RNA (583 nucleotides) under uncultured bacterium. RNAcentral describes it as "partial 16S ribosomal RNA". It matches the Rfam family "Bacterial small subunit ribosomal RNA", at positions 355 to 932 of the family's 1533-position model. The record is from RNAcentral.
UGGGGAAUUUUGGACAAUGGGCGAAAGCCUGAUCCAGCAAUGCCGCGUGUGUGAAGAAGGCCUUCGGGUUGUAAAGCACUUUUGUCCGGAAAGAAAUCCUUGGCUCUAAUACAGUCGGGGGAUGACGGUACCGGAAGAAUAAGCACCGGCUAACUACGUGCCAGCAGCCGCGGUAAUACGUAGGGUGCAAGCGUUAAUCGGAAUUACUGGGCGUAAAGCGUGCGCAGGCGGUUUGCUAAGACCGAUGUGAAAUCCCCGGGCUCAACCUGGGAACUGCAUUGGUGACUGGCAGGCUAGAGUAUGGCAGAGGGGGGUAGAAUUCCACGUGUAGCAGUGAAAUGCGUAGAGAUGUGGAGGAAUACCGAUGGCGAAGGCAGCCCCCUGGCCAAGUACUGACGCUCAUGCACGAAAGCGUGGGGAGCAAACNGGAUUAAUACCCUGGUAGUCCACGCCCUAAANGAUGUCAACUAGUUGUUGGGGAUUCAUUUUCCUUAGUAACGUAGCUAACGCGUGAAGUUGACCGCCUGGGGAGUACGGUCGCAAGAUUAAAACUCAAAGAAUUGACGGGGUCAUGCUGUUUCCU